UGCACCAAGCCUCAAAUAACUAAUUUUGAAAUAUUGGUUAGUUCAAAUAGACCUCACAGAAGAGCAAUAAAUCAGCUACCACUUAGAAACAACAAAAUAUACCAGUUUAAUAUCUUCCCAUCUUCUCUGUCAUGUUCUUGCAAUGGUGAAAGAGAGUGGAGCAUUGCUUACUUACUGUGAAAGCUCCUUCUUGCUGUGGAGUCCAAGGGAGUCUCACGUGUGGGUUAUGUGAUCCCACGUGACUCCAAAGGCAGGACUAAGCCAAUUAGGAAAGCUUUUAAAACUGGGAGGAGCAAACCCUCCUUAGUUCUUUUAGGCCAAGAAGCAAUACGUACCUUCUUAGGUACUGGUAAAUAACUAGGACAAAAAAAAAAAAAGAGUUAAACAACCUAAUCAACAUACUACCAUGAUCCUCCAGCUAACAGGAGAAGGAAGUGACUACAGGAUACCUCUCCCAGUAGUACACUGCGGACUGUAGUCCUUAAAAGAAAAAUAUGCAGAGAGCCCCCCAAGGGGAAAAAAACAUGCCUAGAACCCCCAGGUCCCUGGACAGUAGGUGCAGGUAGAAGGGUGGGUCGAGACGUCCUUGGACUCCGCAGCAAGAAAGAGCCUUCAUGGGGCUGGUGCCUCAGAAGCAGAGGAAACUGGGCUGGAGGAUGGGGAGACCCGCCUGGACCAUUUUUGCCUUUUGGAUUUCAAAUAAUCAUAUCUCUCAAAGGAUUUAGCUAACAAGCCCUCAAACCAUGACCCCCAGGUAUAUAAGAGCGAGGCUAGCCAAGACAGUGCCUUGGUGUAGUGCCAAAUGUGUCACUAAGUGUGCACUUGGAGGUGCACAUGGAAGUGCCUGGAGGUCCAAGCUGCACCUUGUUGAAGCAGACAGUCAACCAACACUGAGAGCCAGUUUGUCUCUGGAGGGCCCUGGAGGAAGGUGGAACAAAUGCUUCUCUGCCAAGAAGACUGAAAUGAACAGCAAGGAUCCACUGAGGGCAUCGUAUCACAGAACUGGUUUUUUGCUGAUUUAUAAACAUUUUCCUGAAAUAUUGAUACAUUUUAAUUAUGCCUCAAAUAAAACAAGAAUUUUAGCCAGCUAUUCUUUCGA
Hemicordylus capensis (graceful crag lizard) is the source of this 1099-nucleotide long non-coding RNA. RefSeq lists it as uncharacterized. NCBI's taxonomy places the organism in Eukaryota, Metazoa, Chordata, Lepidosauria, Squamata, Cordylidae. The transcript is spliced from 3 exons. The record is from RefSeq and is a predicted model, not a curated record.